This 465-nucleotide ribosomal RNA is filed under the name uncultured bacterium. RNAcentral describes it as "partial 16S ribosomal RNA". It matches the Rfam family "Bacterial small subunit ribosomal RNA", at positions 28 to 507 of the family's 1533-position model. The record is from RNAcentral.
GACGAACGCUGGCGGCGUGCUUAACACAUGCAAGUCGAACGGAAAGGCCCCUUUGGGGGUUCUCGAGUGGCGAACGGGUGAGUAACACGUGAGUAACCUGCCCUUGACUUCGGGAUAACUUUAGGAAACUGGGGCUAAUACCGGAUAGGAAUCCUUGCUGCAUGGUGGGGGUUGGAAAGCUUCGGCGGUUUUGGAUGGACUCGCGGCGUAUCAGCUUGUUGGUGGGGUAGUGGCUUACCAAGGCUUUGACGGGUAGCCGGCCUGAGAGGGCGACCGGCCACAUUGGGACUGAGAUACGGCCCAGACUCCUACGGGAGGCAGCAGUGGGGAAUAUUGCACAAUGGGCGGAAGCCUGAUGCAGAAACGCCGCGUGCGGGAUGACGGCCUUCGGGUUGUAAACCGCUUUCAGCAGGGGCGAAGCUUGUGGUGACGGUACCUGCAGAAGAAGCACCGGCUAACUACGUG